This 687-nucleotide long non-coding RNA is filed under the name Marmota monax (woodchuck). Lineage: Eukaryota; Metazoa; Chordata; Mammalia; Rodentia; Sciuridae. The record is from RNAcentral.
GUGGCAUACUGUAUUGGGUGGGCAGGCAGAAAAUGAUCAGAGUAAGGUUGAAUGUGUACUGUGCAGAAAGCUCUUCUGAGCCAAGUGAAAAUCAACUUGGAAAUUCUCUUUUUCUCCUGUGUCCACGCCAUCAUCAAGUUAUGUGAGCUCAAGUGCAUAUCUGGAAUCAGAUCAUUUCUCACCACUAACAUUGCUGUCACCAUGGUGCCAUGUCUAAGUCUAUCAGAUUGCACUUAGAUUUCUUUAAGAACUUCCUCCUGCCUUUGCCUACCUACAGUCUUCACUUUUUUUGUUGUUGUUCUUUUUAGAUGUAAAUGACAAUAGAGUGCAUUUUGACAUAUCCUACCCUAGAUAAUAUAGAACAAGUCACUGCAUCUUUCUUAGCUUCCUCUUCUACUAACUUAGUAUAACUUAUUCUAAUUAGGAUCCCAUUCUUAUGGUCUUACAUGAUAUGGAGUUUUACUGCUCAUGUAUUCAUAUAUGAACAUAGGAAAGUUAUGUUCAAUUCAUUCCCUUUUGUCUAAUCCAAUGAACUUCUAAUCCUCCCAACCCCCCACUGUGUGUUAGCAUACACAUAUUAAAACAUUCAGCCUUUGGUUUGGGAGGAUGGUUUAUUUCACUUAGCAUGAUAUUUUUCAGUUCCAUCCAUUUAUCUUCAAAUGCCAUCAUUUCAUUCUUCUUUAUGGC